This 406-nucleotide ribosomal RNA is filed under the name uncultured bacterium. Its description in RNAcentral is "partial 16S ribosomal RNA". It matches the Rfam family "Bacterial small subunit ribosomal RNA", at positions 28 to 526 of the family's 1533-position model. The record is from RNAcentral.
GAUGAACGCUAGCUACAGGCUUAACACAUGCAAGUCGAGCGACCGGCGCACGGGUCAGUUCCACGUAUCCAACUUCCCCUUUACUCUGGCAUCUCCUUUCGAUAGAUAGUUCAAUAUCCGAUAUAAAGCACGGGGAUGCGUUCCAUUAGGUUGUUGGUGAGGUACCGGCUCACCAAGCUUUCGAUGGAUAGGGGUUAUGUGAGGAAGCGCCCCCGCAUUGGAGCUGAGGCACGGUCCAAACUACUACGGGAGGCAGCAGUGAGGAAUAUUGGUCAAUGGGCGCUAGGCUGAACCAGCCAAGUAGAGUGAAUGAUGAAGGGUUAUGGGUCGUAGACUUGUGUUAUAUAAGGAUAGGUAUUAGAUGAAUAAGGAUCGGCUAACUCCGUGCCAGCAGCCGCGGUAAUAC